UGCACCGUAGAGCAGAGGUCAGCUCACUGGGCCCAUAACCCGGAGGUCGCAUGUUCGAAUCAUGCCGGUGCUACAA
This 76-nucleotide transfer RNA is filed under the name Mycoplasmatota bacterium. RNAcentral describes it as "Tenericutes bacterium tRNA-Met". It matches the Rfam family "tRNA". Rfam says of the family: Transfer RNA (tRNA) molecules are approximately 80 nucleotides in length. Their secondary structure includes four short double-helical elements and three loops (D, anti-codon, and T loops). Further hydrogen bonds mediate the characteristic L-shaped molecular structure. tRNAs have two regions of fundamental functional importance: the anti-codon, which is responsible for specific mRNA codon recognition, and the 3' end, to which the tRNAs corresponding amino acid is attached (by aminoacyl-tRNA synthetases). tRNAs cope with the degeneracy of the genetic code in two manners: having more than one tRNA (with a specific anti-codon) for a particular amino acid; and 'wobble' base-pairing, i.e. permitting non-standard base-pairing at the 3rd anti-codon position. Lineage: Bacteria; Bacillati; Mycoplasmatota. The record is from RNAcentral.